ACGUAAACAGCAGAAUGGCGCGGGGCCCCGGCGGGAUCGUAACCAAUCCGAAUUUGGCGGCGAGACAGAGAGCGAACAGAAGAAUCGGAACGCCGAUGAGAAUCACCGCACCGAAAAUCUGAUUGGGCUUUGGCUUCGGAAUAAUCGGUCCGCCGGUAACAGCAGUCGCGGUAUUCAUCGCACCGCUCCCGCGACUGAAACAUCAUGCGCAA
Molecule: unclassified non-coding RNA, 212 nt
Filed under: Hevea brasiliensis (rubber tree)
Lineage: Eukaryota; Viridiplantae; Streptophyta; Magnoliopsida; Malpighiales; Euphorbiaceae
Source: RNAcentral